GAGAUACCCCUAUGGAGCAGGUCUAGCUUCAGAGGGGCUUUGGUGCUCACUGAGUCUGCUCCUUGAGUGUAUGGCU
RNAcentral lists this microRNA precursor (76 nucleotides) under Myotis lucifugus (little brown bat). RNAcentral's name for it is "mir-9229 microRNA precursor family". It matches the Rfam family "mir-9229 microRNA precursor family". Lineage: Eukaryota; Metazoa; Chordata; Mammalia; Chiroptera; Vespertilionidae. The record is from Rfam by way of RNAcentral.